This is an RNA transcript of Trifolium pratense (red clover), 3549 nucleotides long. It is a transcript of the gene named putative pentatricopeptide repeat-containing protein At1g12700, mitochondrial, with no coding region annotated. The transcript is spliced from 4 exons. Lineage: Eukaryota; Viridiplantae; Streptophyta; Magnoliopsida; Fabales; Fabaceae. The record is from RefSeq and is a predicted model, not a curated record.
UUUGGAGGCGGGAGCGGGAGUAUCUAUCUACAGAGCCUAACUUUUCAUCCCAUUCUUGGAGAAAGUGAAAAUCAAAAUUAGAUAUAAUCCAAAACUGAGUUGAAGCAUAAACGUAAAUCGCCUCCCAUCCUUCACUCAUCUCCUCCUUAUCCGAAACUGAGUUGCACUAUAAACCUGACUCGCUGCCAAUCAUUCAUUCAUUCAUUUCCUUCUAAUCCAAAACUGAGUUGAUUUUGUUACAAAAAACCACAGUCUCGGCAUCUCAACCGUUAGAAUGUCAUUUUCACUGUUAAGUAACCGUGCUGCUUCUGCUAUCACUCUUUCUCCUUCCAACAAUUUCAAUCGUCGCCGAUUUUACUCUCAUGCUCAUUCCAAUUCCCAAUUUCAUCAAAAUCACAAUCUUGUUGAUGCUGAUUCUUCAUUCAAUAGAAUUCUCGAUGUCAACCCUAUCCCAUCAUCCGUCUUCGAACUCGGUAAGAUGUUAACUUCCCUUGUUAGAAACAAGCAGUUUCACACUGCUAUUUCACUCUCUCAUCAAAUGGAGCUCAAUGGAAUUCAACCUAACUUUGUUACUUUGAACAUCUUGCUCAAUUGUUUCUGCCACCUUAGUCAACUCAAUUUUGCAUUUUCUGUAUUAGCAAAAAUUCUCAAGCUAGGUUAUCAGCCUAAUACGGUAACAAUGACUACACUUAUGAAAGGCAUGUGUCUUAGUGGUCAGGUUAAUAAAGCUUUGGAUUUUCAUGACGACGUUAUAUCAAAGGGAUUUCAGCUUAAUCAAGUUAGUUAUGGAAUCUUGAUUGAUGGCUUAUGUAAAAAAGGAGAAACAACAGCUGCCCUCCGGUUGCUUAGAAAGAUUGAAGCGUUAAUAGUUAAACCGGACGUGGUAAUGUACAACAUAGUCAUUCAUAGACUUUCCAAGGAUGAACUUGUGAGUGAUGCCCUUCAUUUAUAUUCUGAAAUGAUUGUCAAGAAUAUUUAUCCUGAUGUUGUCACUUACACUAAUUUAAUAUACGGCCUUUGCAUUGUGCGUCAAUUCAAAGAAGCUAUUGGUUUGUUAAAUAAAAUGUUGUUGAAAAACAUCAGCCCAAAUGUUCUUACUUUUAAUAUACUGAUUGGUGGUUUAUCUAAGGAAGGAGAGUUGAGAAAAGCUAAAAAUGUCUUAGCUGUUAUGAUAAAACAAGGUGUGAAACCAGAUGUUGUUACUUAUACUUCUUUAAUAGAUGGGUAUUUUUUGGUUAAAGAAGUGAACGAGGCCACAUAUGUAUUCAACACUAUUGCUCAAACGGAAGUGAAACCUAAUAUUUGUACCUACAAUGUCAUGAUUAAUGGAUUAUGCAAGAAUAAAAUGUUGGAUGAAGCCAUGAAUCUCUUCAAAGAAAUGUAUUUAAAAAACAUCUCUCCUGAUACUAUAACAUACAGUUCGCUUAUUGAUGGGCUUUGCAAAUCGGGGAGAAUCUCUAAUGUUUGGUAUUUUCUUGAUGAGAUGCAUGAUAGAGGCCAUCCUGCUAAUGCGAUCACUUACACUUCUAUAUUGGAUGCAUUGUGCAAAAACCAUCAGUUUGACAAGGCAAUUGAAUUAUUGGCGAAGAUCAAAGACCAAGGAAUUCAGCUAAAUAUGUAUACAUACACUAUACUUGUCGAUGCACUAUGCAAAAAUGGAAGACUUAUGGAUGCACUAGAGGUUUAUCAAGAUCUUUUGAUUAAAGGCUACCAUUUAGAUGUGACAAUGUAUACUGUUAUGAUUGAUGGGCUUUGUAAAGAGGGCUUUCUUGAUGAAGCAUUGUUCUUAAUGUCAAAAAUGGAAGAUAACGGUUGCACCCCUAAUGGCAUAACUUACACAACUCUUAUUCAUGCUCUGUCAAAAAAUGGCAAGAAUGAGAAGGCGGUGAAACUUCAUCGUGAAAUGAUUGUUAGAGGUCUUUCAUAUGAAUAAAACUAGAAUAUGGAAGGGUAAUUACAAUGUAUUAAUAAAGUAGUAGAGCAGGCACACAUGAAGCAAUUUGUAGAUAAAGCAGACCCUCUACUGUCGAGCAACUAUGGUAGAGCUGUUGGAUCUGGGUGCAAGGAAGUGUAGUUGGAUCUACCAUCUCUACAAAUCCUACAGAGGAUCAGAAUAAACAAUGGUUUGUGUUUAAUAGGCUGCACCUUUAGCUAGUUGCGAGUUAACUGCGGAUGCUAUAGUGGAAAUGUGUAGAGACCCUUAGACGCUGUGCAAAACCUCUUUAUGACUUAUGAUUAGCGGAUGAUACAGUGAAAGAAGCACUUCAUAGUUGAACAUGUCUCCUUACCUCCCUAGAUUUGAACUCGGGAAAGAUGAUUGGCAGCGCUGAGGAGAGUGGAGGACUCUACUACUUUGACAUUGGAUCUACAUCACAACUACCUUCUGAAACAAUAAGUUCCUGCUUUGAGUCUUUUUCUGUUUUGAAUAAUCAUGAUGACAAUAUUAUGUUAUGGCAUUUACGAUUAGGUCAUCCUAGUUUUCCCUAUUUAAAACACUUGUUUCCAAAGUUAUUUCGUAAUAAGGAUAUUUCUUUGUUUAAAUGUGAAGCAUGUGAAUUUGCGAAACAUCAUCGUUCCCAUUUUGCAAUACAGCCUUACAAACCAUCAAAACUUUUUUCUAUUAUUCACAGUGAUGUUUGGGGCCCUAACCGUACAAGUACACUAUCUCUUAAGAAAUGGUUUAUCACCUUUAUCGAUGACCAUUCAAGGGUAUGUUGGGUGUACUUUUUAAAGGGGAAAUCUAAUGUUUGUCAGGCUGUAAAAGAUUUUUGUACAAUGGUGCAAAACCAAUAUCAAACUAAUAUUCAAAUCUUUGGAAGUGAUAAUGGCAAAUAAUAUUUUAACACUAAUUUGAGUGAUUUAUUUCUUGAAAAUGGAAUUAUACAUCAAAGUUCAUGUCCUAAUACUCCCCAACAAAAUGGAGUUGCAGAAAGAAAAAAAUAGACAUUUAUUGGAGGUAGCUAGAGCUUUACUUUUCUCAAGUAAAGUACCAAACUAUUUGUGGGGUGAAGCGGUUUUAACCGCUGCCUAUUUAAUUAACAGAAUGCCUUCAAAAGUUCUCAAUUUUCAAUCUCCAAUUGAUACUUUUAAAGAAUGUUUUCCUAAUACUUGUGUUUCAAAUGAUUUGACAUUAAAAAAAUUUGGUUGCACAACCUUUGUACAUGAACAUAAGAAUGUUGGAAAACUUGAACCACGUGCUACAAAAUGUGUUUUUGUUGGAUACUCCCCAACCCAGAAGGGAUAUAAAUGUUUUGAUCCAAAAAACAAGAAAAUGUAUGUCAUUAUGGACGUUACACUUUUUUGAAAACAAAAAAUUAACAUGUUGUCUGACGUAGGCACGGAAAACGUGUCUGGUCAAUGGCGUAUUCCUCUUUUCCACCAUCACCUGCACAUGGCGGGUCUGCCAUUCCGCCUUUCCUGCAUGCAUGGCGUUAGCCUUGAUUCCGCCAUCAGCCUGUACCUGCACGCGACAGAUUUUGUCCCUAAAGAGCGGUAUUACCGAAAUUAUUUUGAAAACAGGGUUAUUACGAAAAUAAAAAAAAAAAAAAA